This 484-nucleotide ribosomal RNA is filed under the name uncultured bacterium. Its description in RNAcentral is "bacterial SSU rRNA". It matches the Rfam family "Bacterial small subunit ribosomal RNA", at positions 1 to 464 of the family's 1533-position model. The record is from RNAcentral.
CCCUUAGAGUUUGAUCCUGGCUCAGGACGAACGCUGGCGGCGUGCUUAACACAUGCAAGUCGAACGAAGAGCGAUGGAAGCUUGCUUCUAUCAAUCUUAGUGGCGAACGGGUGAGUAACGCGUAAUCAACCUGCCCUUCAGAGGGGGACAACAGUUGGAAACGACUGCUAAUACCGCAUACGAUCCAAUCUCGGCAUCGAGACUGGAUGAAAGGUGGCCUCUAUUUAUAAGCUAUCACUGAAGGAGGGGAUUGCGUCUGAUUAGCUAGUUGGAGGGGUAACGGCCCACCAAGGCGAUGAUCAGUAGCCGGUCUGAGAGGAUGAACGGCCACAUUGGGACUGAGACACGGCCCAGACUCCUACGGGAGGCAGCAGUGGGGAAUCUUCCGCAAUGGACGAAAGUCUGACGGAGCAACGCCGCGUGAGUGAUGACGGCCUUCGGGUUGUAAAGCUCUGUUAAUCGGGACGAAUGGUUCUUGUGCGAA